GAUGAAGAAGCAGCGAAAUGCGAUACUUGGUGUGAAUUGCAGAAUCCCGUGAACCAUCGAGUCUUUGAACGCAAGUUGCGCCCGAAGCCACUAGGCCGAGGGCACGCCUGCCUGGGCGUCACACGCCGUUGCCCCCCCAUCUACUCCUUCGGGAUUGCGGGGGGGCGGAUGAUGGCCUCCUGUGCGCCUAGCCGCGCGGUUGGCAUAAAUACCAAGUCCUCGGCGACGCACGCCACGACAAUCGGUGGUUGCGAAACCUCGGUUGCCCGUCGUGUGCGUUCGUCGCGCAUCGAGGGCUCGAAAAAAUGCUCGGCUCCGGCUGGGCUUUCAACGCGACCCCAGGUCAGGCGGGGUUACCCGCUGAAUUUAAGCAUAUCAAUAAGCGGAGGA
RNAcentral lists this unclassified non-coding RNA (390 nucleotides) under soil metagenome. RNAcentral describes it as "partial contains 5.8S ribosomal RNA, internal transcribed spacer 2, and large subunit ribosomal RNA". The stretch from base 1 to 121 matches the Rfam family "5.8S ribosomal RNA", at positions 35 to 154 of the family's 154-position model. The record is from RNAcentral.